GGAGAUAUAGACAUACAUUCCAUCAUAAUUCUUCCUUCCUAUUUAUAUUUUCCUUUCUAGCUUCCAUAUCAUUAUUUUAAUAACUAGUUGUUGCUUGGUCUUUCUCUUCUGACUCUCUGUUCUAUCUUUCAAAAUAGACGUGCAGUAGUAUAGAAAUGGUAAAUUCUCUUUUUCGGUUUUCCCCCUCUGUUUUUAACUCCAAAAGACUUUAUUUUUUUGGUGGGUAAAAUAAAGAAAAAUAAAAUGAACGUGUUCUAGUACAUGUAUAUAUUCAUUUUUUAUCUUCUUCUUGUCAAUGAAUUGGAUCGUUGUACUAAGCCAUUUUUAUGUCAACAAACGGUCCAGAGAAUUUUGUUUCGUGUAGAAGCAUCGAGGAACAUCUAGUACUGGCAAUAAUGUACAGGGAGUGCCCGUAUGGUCAUGCCCAGGCGAUGAGUCACAGACUCACAAUGGUCGCCCCACCCCCUUUUCACCCAUCAGCACUUGGGGCCUUAUGCUAAGGAAACAUAAGACAAGAGCAAGCAUCAAUUAUGAGAAUUAUUUUUCUUUACUAUGACCAUCCUCUUAAGAUUUUUAAGUUGUUUAUGGUUUUGGGAACCCUGCAGAUUCCUGAAAUCCCACCAUCAUUUGGUUAAAUGUUUCUUUAUAUGCAACAAAAUUUGCGAUGCUCCACACC
Molecule: long non-coding RNA, 676 nt
Organism: Quercus robur (English oak)
Lineage: Eukaryota; Viridiplantae; Streptophyta; Magnoliopsida; Fagales; Fagaceae
Exons: 2
Source: RefSeq, a predicted model, not a curated record